GAUGAACGCUGGCGGCGUGCCUAAUACAUGCAAGUCGAGCGAACAGAUGAGGAGCUUGCUCCUCUGACGUUAGCGGCGGACGGGUGAGUAACACGUGGAUAACCUACCUAUAAGGCUGGGAUAACUUCGGGAAGCCGGAGCUAAUACCGGAUAAUAUAUUGAACCGCAUGGUUCAAUAGUGAAAGACGGUUUUGCUGUCACUUAUAGAUGGAUCCGCGCCGCAUUAGCUAGUUGGUAAGGUAACGGCUUACCAAGGCAACGAUGCGUAGCCGACCCGAGAGGGUGAUCGGCCACACUGGAACUGAGACACGGUCCAGACUCCUACGGGAGGCAGCAGUAGGGAAUCUUCCGCAAUGGGCGAAAGCCUGACGGAGCAACGCCGCGUGAGUGAUGAAGGUCUUCGGAUCGUAAAACUCUGUUAUUAGGGAAGAACAAAUGUGUAAGUAACUAUGCACGUCUUGACGGUACCUAAUCAGAAAGCCACGGCUAACUACGUG
This 497-nucleotide ribosomal RNA is filed under the name uncultured bacterium. RNAcentral describes it as "partial 16S ribosomal RNA". It matches the Rfam family "Bacterial small subunit ribosomal RNA", at positions 28 to 507 of the family's 1533-position model. The record is from RNAcentral.